This 207-nucleotide long non-coding RNA is filed under the name Elaeis guineensis (African oil palm). Its description in RNAcentral is "long non-coding RNA (EGUI_LNC047205)". The record is from RNAcentral. Lineage: Eukaryota; Viridiplantae; Streptophyta; Magnoliopsida; Arecales; Arecaceae.
UGUUGGACAGUUCGAAAUUUAUCGGAUCAAAUUUUGAUAAUUGAUAUCGAAAGUUAAAGAUUGUCCUGGAGCACAAGUAGAUCCUUUAUGUGAUAAUGGAUCCGGCACCUGAGGAAUCUGCUCCUAACGCCCGAAGAGUGGUUUGAGACACUUAUUUGAAGUAGCUCAAUGACUGCACCACAGUUCGUUGCAUCAUGCGGGCCUCCA